RNAcentral lists this ribosomal RNA (543 nucleotides) under Clostridium sp. chh4-2. RNAcentral's name for it is "bacterial LSU rRNA". It matches the Rfam family "Bacterial large subunit ribosomal RNA", at positions 2181 to 2723 of the family's 2925-position model. The record is from RNAcentral. Lineage: Bacteria; Bacillati; Bacillota; Clostridia; Eubacteriales; Clostridiaceae.
CAGAGCCGCUGUUGGGAUACCACCCUUGUGUGAUUGGAUUUCUAACCUGCAGCCGUGACCCGGCUGGGGGACAAUGUCAGGCGGGGAGUUUGACUGGGGCGGUCGCCUCCGAAAGGGUAUCGGAGGCGCUCAAAGGUUCCCUCAGAAUGGUUGGAAACCAUUCGAAGAGUGCAAAGGCAUAAGGGAGCUUGACUGCGAGACCGACGGGUCGAGCAGGUACGAAAGUAGGACUUAGUGAUCCGGUGGUAUAAAGUGGGAUUGCCAUCGCUCAACGGAUAAAAGCUACCCUGGGGAUAACAGGCUUAUCACUCCCAAGAGUUCACAUCGACGGAGUGGUUUGGCACCUCGAUGUCGGCUCAUCGCAUCCUGGGGCUGAAGUAGGUCCCAAGGGUUGGGCUGUUCGCCCAUUAAAGCGGUACGCGAGCUGGGUUCAGAACGUCGUGAGACAGUUCGGUCCCUAUCCGGCGUGGGCGUAAGAUAUUUGAGAGGAGCUGUCCUUAGUACGAGAGGACCGGGAUGGACUGACCGCUGGUGUAUCUGUUA